CAGUCGUGAGGAAGGUAGUGUAGUUAAUAGCUGCAUUAUUUGACGUUAGCGACAGAAGAAAGCACCGGCUAACUCCGUGCCAGCAGCCGCGGUAAUACGGAGGGUGCGAGCGUUAAUCGGAAUUACUGGGCGUAAAGCGCAUGCAGGUGGUUUGUUAAGUCAGAUGUGAAAGACCCGGGGCGUCAACCUCGGAAUAGCAUUUGAAACUAGGCAGACUAGAGUACUGUAGAGGGGGGUAGGAAUUUCAGGUGUAGCGGUGAAAUGCGUAGAGAUCUGAAGGAAUACCGGUGGCGAAGGCGGCCCCCUCGGACAGAUACUGACACUCAGAUGCGAAAGCGUGGGGAGCAAACAGGAUUAGAUACCCUGGUAG
This 370-nucleotide ribosomal RNA is filed under the name uncultured bacterium. RNAcentral describes it as "bacterial SSU rRNA". It matches the Rfam family "Bacterial small subunit ribosomal RNA", at positions 434 to 793 of the family's 1533-position model. The record is from RNAcentral.